Long non-coding RNA from Homo sapiens (human), 363 nucleotides. Ensembl annotates it as long intergenic non-protein coding RNA 1002. NCBI's taxonomy places the organism in Eukaryota, Metazoa, Chordata, Mammalia, Primates, Hominidae. The record is from Ensembl.
CCAUGUUGGCCGGGCCAGUCUCGAACUCCUGACGUCAAGUGAUCUUCCCGCCUCGACUCCUGAUAUCAAGUGAUCUUCCCGCCUCGGCCUCCCAGAGUGCUGAGAUUACAGACGUGAACCCAUGCCUGGCCAGGAAUUUUGUUUUUUAGGAAGGCUUUCUACUAAUGGAAUUCCUGGCCUUGAGAGGAUGUUACUUUAGAAGGAAAGGAUUUUUUUGUUAUUAAAAGAGCCACCUAAGCUGAAGAUUCCCUUGAGAACAAGUACUGUCCCUAGUUUCCCAGUGCUGGAAUAUAGAAAAUGGAUGGACAAGUAAAUCCCACUCAGCACCCAUAGUCCCGGCAUGGGGACCUCAACACACCUGAG